UACGUAGGGGGCAAGUGUUGUCCGGAUUUAUUGGGCGUAAAGAGCGUGUAGGCGGCCAGGUAGGUCAGCUGUGAAAACUCGAGGCUCAACCUCGAGAUGUCGGCUGAAACCAUCUGGCUAGAGUCCGGAAGAGGAGAAUGGAAUUCCCGGUGUAGCGGUGAAAUGCGCAGAUAUCGGGAAGAACACCCGUGGCGAAGGCGGUUCUCUGGGACGGUACUGACGCUGAGACGCGAAAGCGUGGGGAGCGAACAGG
Molecule: ribosomal RNA, 253 nt
Filed under: uncultured bacterium
Lineage: Bacteria
Description: partial 16S ribosomal RNA
Rfam family: Bacterial small subunit ribosomal RNA
Source: RNAcentral